UUGGGAGGGCGAGGCCCGGGACCUGCGCCGCUACUUCGACGAGCAGUUCGGCUCCGACCUGCCCAAGGAGGUGCUGGGCGAGCUGGAGGCCCUCGAGGAGCGCCUCAAGAAGAUGUGACCGCCCGCCCGCCGCCGAACGCUGGCCGGCGCCUUCGCGGACCUUUCUUCGUGCUCCCUUGGCCGACGCCUUCGCUGCUGGCUCUUCGCGAGCCGUUGGCCGCCGUCUUCGCUGACCAAUCACCGCGUCCCCCUCAGUCUCCGCCUUCGUUGCUCGGUCUCCGGGACCUGCUGGCGAGCUUCUUCGUUGACCGAUCGCCCCGUCCGUUUGCCCUCCAUCUUGGUUGCUCGGUCUCUGGAACGUGAUGGUCGCCGUCUUUGUUGACCGAUCAGCACGUCCUCUCAGCCACCGUCUUCGUUGACCAAUCACCGCGCCCCCUCGGUCUCCGUCUUUGUUGCUCAGUCUCCGGGACCUGCUGGCCGCCAUCUUCAUUGACCAGUCGCCAUGUCCCCUUGGCCUCCAUCUUGGUCGCUCGAUCCCCGGGACCUGCUGGCCACCAUCUUUGUUGACCAAUUACUAUGCUCCGUUCAGCCUCCAUCUUUGUUGCUCGGUCUCCAGGAUCUGCUGGUCUCCAUGUUUGUUGACCAAUCGUGACAUCUCUUUAGCUACCGUCUUCAUUGACCAAUCAGCGCAUUGCUUUGAGUGCCGUCUUCGUUGAGCAAUCACUGCAUCCCCUCAGCUGCCAUCUUGGUUGCUCAGUGUCCGGGACCUGCUGGCCACCAUCAUCUUGAGCAAUCACCGCGUCCCCUUGGCCGCCAUCUUUGUUGCUCGGUGUCCAUGACCUGUUGGCCUCCACCUUCGUUGACCAAUCACUGCGUCCCCUUGGCCACCAUCCUGGUUGCUUGGUCUCCAUGACCUGGCCUCCACCUUCGUUGACCAAUCACUGCAUCCCAUUGGCCUCCACCUUCGUUGACCAAUCGCCCUGUCCCCUUGGCCACCAUCCUGAUUGCUUGGUCUCCAUGACCUGCUGGCCUCCACCUUCGUUGACCAAUCACUGCAUCUCGCUGCAUCUCGUUGGCCACCAUCUUUGUUGCUUGGUCCUUGGCCACCAUUUCCGUUGCUUGAGCUCCAUGACCUGGCCUCCACCUUCGUUGACCAAUCACUGCAUCUCGUUGGCCUUCACCUUCGUUGACCAAUCACCGCCUUGCGUUGGCCACCAUCUUUGUUGCUUGGUCUCCAUGACCUGCUGGCCUCCAUCUUUGUUGACCAAUCGCCACGCCCCCUUGGCUUCCACCU
This 1294-nucleotide long non-coding RNA is filed under the name Struthio camelus australis. RNAcentral describes it as "lncRNA (ENSSCUG00000005543.1)". Lineage: Eukaryota; Metazoa; Chordata; Aves; Struthioniformes; Struthionidae. The record is from RNAcentral.